AUUGAACGCUGGCGGCAUGCCUUACACAUGCAAGUCGAACGGAAACAGGCCUUCGGGUCCUGACUAGUGGUGGACGGGUGAGUAAUGCUUCGGAACGUGUCCAGUGGCGGGGGGUAUCGCAUCGAAAGCUGUGCUAAUACCGCAUGUGAUCUGAGGUUGAGAGCGGGGGACCAGGCAGCAAUGUUUGGCCUCGCGCGUUUCGAGUGGCCGAUGUCGGAUUAGGUAGUUGGUGGGGUAAAGGCCUACCAAGCCGACGAUCUGUAGCUGGUCUGAGAGGACGACCAGCCACACUGGAACUGAGACACGGCCCAGACUCCUACGGGAGGCAGCAGUGGGGAAUUUUGGACAAUGGGCGAAAGCCUGAUCCAGCAAUGCCGCGUGCGGGAAGAAGGCCUUCGGAUUGUAAACCGCUUUUGUACGGGACGAACAGAUUCUGGCUAAUACCUGGGGCUGAUGACGGUACCGUAAGAAUAAGCACCGGCUAACUACGUG
This 492-nucleotide ribosomal RNA is filed under the name uncultured bacterium. RNAcentral's name for it is "partial 16S ribosomal RNA". It matches the Rfam family "Bacterial small subunit ribosomal RNA", at positions 30 to 507 of the family's 1533-position model. The record is from RNAcentral.